Long non-coding RNA from Prosopis cineraria, 711 nucleotides. RefSeq lists it as uncharacterized. The transcript is spliced from 3 exons. Lineage: Eukaryota; Viridiplantae; Streptophyta; Magnoliopsida; Fabales; Fabaceae. The record is from RefSeq and is a predicted model, not a curated record.
CAUUCUUUUUAUAGAAGCUGAGAGAGCAGGAUAGAUCUGAGAUUCUAGAACCCUCAACCUCAGCUUUUCUCGAAUUCCACCGACGUUCUCCGCCCUUCCUUUUGAGUCUUCAACGUCGCCGGCGUGGGUCUGUUAGAGAGCACCGUUCAUCGUUGCUGCCACAAUUUUCUCCUCUUCCUUGUUCUGUCAUCGUUCAGUUCCUCCCCUGCAUGUGUGUUUGAGUUGGUUGCUAUCAGUUCUUCUUCCUCCUCUGCCAGUCAGCUUGCCGUUGUCGACAGGUGCAACUACUCUGUCCACCAUUGCUGUGAAAUUCCAUUAAAAUAGUUCUCCUCUCUUGUCCGAGCUGCUAUGGUUCAAUGUACAAGGUUCCUUUCCUCUUCCCCUAUUUAGCAUGACAGAUUCGUCCUUCUCCCUUUUUUGUUCUGCCAUGGUUAAUAUGAGAUAGCGUAGUUGACACUGUACGUCCUGCUUUCCAAUGAGGGAUUUUUGCUGAGCUCGGUGGAGAUUUGUUCUGUAAAUAUAAAUUUAUGAAUUAUAUUAUGAAAAAUAUGAUUAAGUGCUCCACAUAGACUAUAGUUAGGGUCUUGAUUCUCUUUGUUAUAUAGUCUAUUUGUUGUUGUGGAGUAGAGCUUGAUAUUGCUGGGUAUAAAUUGUAAAAUUUUUGUUAUAGAGAUUUUGGAGAUCCUACUUAUAGGGAAGGUAUUGUUGAAA